AGGGAAUCUUCGGCAAUGGACGGAAGUCUGACCGAGCAACGCCGCGUGAGUGAUGAAGGUCUUCGGAUCGUAAAGCUCUGUUGCCAGGGAAGAAGGGCAAGGAGAGUGACUGCUCUUUGCUUGACGGUACCUGAGAAGAAAGCCCCGGCUAACUACGUGCCAGCAGCCGCGGUAAUACGUAGGGGGCGAGCGUUGUCCGGAAUUAUUGGGCGUAAAGCGCGCGCAGGCGGUUCUUUAAGUCCGGUGUUUAAGCCCGGGGCUCAACCUCGGGACGCACGGGAAACUGGGGGACUGGAGUGCAGGAGAGGGAAGCGGAAUUCCACGUGUAGCGGUGAAAUGCGUAGAGAUGUGGAGGAACACCAGUGGCGAAGGCGGCUUCCUGGCCUGUAACUGACGCUGAGGCGCGAAAGCGUGGGGAGCAAAC
This 424-nucleotide ribosomal RNA is filed under the name uncultured bacterium. RNAcentral describes it as "bacterial SSU rRNA". It matches the Rfam family "Bacterial small subunit ribosomal RNA", at positions 356 to 773 of the family's 1533-position model. The record is from RNAcentral.